UCCAAGGCCUGAGAAGAGAACAAGAUCAGCACAGACACGCUGGCACAGGAAUGAAUCAAAGCAAAUGGGGGCUGGACAAGCACCCAGAGCCUG
This is a non-coding RNA of Ceratotherium simum simum (southern white rhinoceros), 93 nucleotides long. Lineage: Eukaryota; Metazoa; Chordata; Mammalia; Perissodactyla; Rhinocerotidae. The record is from RefSeq and is a predicted model, not a curated record.